RNAcentral lists this ribosomal RNA (253 nucleotides) under uncultured bacterium. Its description in RNAcentral is "partial 16S ribosomal RNA". It matches the Rfam family "Bacterial small subunit ribosomal RNA", at positions 524 to 776 of the family's 1533-position model. The record is from RNAcentral.
UACAGAGGGUGCGAGCGUUAAUCGGAUUUACUGGGCGUAAAGGGCGCGUAGGCGGUGAUAUGAGUGAUAGGUGAAAGCCCCGGGCUCAACCUGGGAAGUGCCUAUCAAACGAUAUGACUGGAGUAUAAGAGAGGGUGGCGGAAUUUCCGGUGUAGCGGUGAAAUGCGUAGAGAUCGGAAGGAACGUCAAUGGCGAAGGCAGCCACCUGGCUUAAUACUGACGCUGAAGCGCGAAAGCGUGGGGAGCAAACAGG